This 46-nucleotide non-coding RNA is filed under the name Methanocaldococcus lauensis. Its description in RNAcentral is "Histone3". It matches the Rfam family "Histone 3' UTR stem-loop". Rfam says of the family: The mRNAs of metazoan histone genes lack a poly-A tail. 3' end processing occurs at a site between a highly conserved stem-loop (modelled by this family) and a purine rich region around 20 nts downstream (the histone downstream element, or HDE). The record is from RNAcentral. Lineage: Archaea; Methanobacteriati; Methanobacteriota; Methanococci; Methanococcales; Methanocaldococcaceae.
CCAUAGGCGGCAUUAGCCGCCAUUCCACAAACAAACAAAUUUGGAU